UGGGGAAUAUUGCACAAUGGGCGCAAGCCUGAUGCAGCCAUGCCGCGUGUAUGAAGAAGGCCUUCGGGUUGUAAAGUACUUUCAGCGGGGAGGAAGGUGUUGUGGUUAAUAACCGCAGCAAUUGACGUUACCCGCAGAAGAAGCACCGGCUAACUCCGUGCCAGCAGCCGCGGUAAUACGGAGGGUGCAAGCGUUAAUCGGAAUUACUGGGCGUAAAGCGCACGCAGGCGGUCUGUCAAGUCGGAUGUGAAAUCCCCGGGCUCAACCUGGGAACUGCAUUCGAAACUGGCAGGCUGGAGUCUUGUAGAGGGGGGUAGAAUUCCAGGUGUAGCGGUGAAAUGCGUAGAGAUCUGGAGGAAUACCGGUGGCGAAGG
RNAcentral lists this ribosomal RNA (374 nucleotides) under uncultured bacterium. RNAcentral's name for it is "partial 16S ribosomal RNA". It matches the Rfam family "Bacterial small subunit ribosomal RNA", at positions 355 to 721 of the family's 1533-position model. The record is from RNAcentral.